CGAACGAUGAACCACUUCGGUGGGGAUUAGUGGCGAACGGGUGAGUAACACGUGGGCAAUCUGCCCUUCACUCUGGGACAAGCCCUGGAAACGGGGUCUAAUACCGGAUAACACUCUUACGGGCAUCUGUGAGGGUUAAAAGCUCCGGCGGUGAAGGAUGAGCCCGCGGCCUAUCAGCUUGUUGGUGAGGUAAUGGCUCACCAAGGCGACGACGGGUAGCCGGCCUGAGAGGGCGACCGGCCACACUGGGACUGAGACACGGCCCAGACUCCUACGGGAGGCAGCAGUGGGGAAUAUUGCACAAUGGGCGAAAGCCUGAUGCAGCGACGCCGCGUGAGGGAUGACGGCCUUCGGGUUGUAAACCUCUUUCAGCAGGGAAGAAGCGAAAGUGACGGUACCUGCAGAAGAAGCGCCGGCUAACUACGUGCCAGCAGCCGCGGUAAUACGUAGGGCGCAAGCGUUGUCCGGAAUUAUUGGGCGUAAAGAGCUCGUAGGCGGCUUGUCACGUCGAUUGUGAAAGCCCGAGGCUUAACCUCGGGUCUGCAGUCGAUACGGGCUAGCUAGAGUGUGGUAGGGGAGAUCGGAAUUCCUGGUGUAGCGGUGAAAUGCGCAGAUAUCAGGAGGAACACCGGUGGCGAAGGCGGAUCUCUGGGCCAUUACUGACGCUGAGGAGCGAAAGCGUGGGGAGCGAACAGGAUUAGAUACCCUGGUAGUCCACGCCGUAAACGGUGGGAACUAGGUGUUGGCGACAUUCCACGUCGUCGGUGCCGCAGCUAACGCA
Molecule: ribosomal RNA, 781 nt
Filed under: Streptomyces sp.
Lineage: Bacteria; Bacillati; Actinomycetota; Actinomycetes; Kitasatosporales; Streptomycetaceae
Description: bacterial SSU rRNA
Rfam family: Bacterial small subunit ribosomal RNA
Source: RNAcentral